RNAcentral lists this ribosomal RNA (189 nucleotides) under uncultured bacterium. Its description in RNAcentral is "partial 16S ribosomal RNA". It matches the Rfam family "Bacterial small subunit ribosomal RNA", at positions 1302 to 1500 of the family's 1533-position model. The record is from RNAcentral.
AGGCUGCAACUCGCCUGCAUGAAGUUGGAGUUGCUAGUAAUCGCGGAUCAGAAUGCCGCGGUGAAUGCGUUCCCGGGUCUUGUACACACCGCCCGUCACACCACGGAAGUUGGGGGUGCCCAAAGUUGGCAGGAUAAUAUGUUACCUAAGGCAAAACCGAUGACUGGGGUGAAGUCGUAACAAGGUACC